This 1051-nucleotide ribosomal RNA is filed under the name Cryphonectria parasitica (chestnut blight fungus). Its description in RNAcentral is "SSU rRNA". It matches the Rfam family "Eukaryotic small subunit ribosomal RNA", at positions 67 to 1129 of the family's 1831-position model. Lineage: Eukaryota; Fungi; Ascomycota; Sordariomycetes; Diaporthales; Cryphonectriaceae. The record is from RNAcentral.
AAGCACCUAAACGGCGAAACUGCGAAUGGCUCAUUAAAUCAGUUAUCGUAUAUUUGAUAGUACCUACUACAUGGAUAACCGUGGUAAUUCUAGAGCUAAUACAUGCUUAAAAUCCCGACUUCGGAAGGGAUGUAUUUAUUAGAUUAAAAACCAAUGCCCUUCGGGGCUCACUGGUGAUUCAUAAUAACUUCUCGAAUCGCAUGGCCUUGUGCCGGCGAUGGUUCAUUCAAAUUUCUGCCCUAUCAACUUUCGACGGCUGGGUCUUGGCCAGCCGUGGUUACAACGGGUAACGGAGGGUUAGGGCUUGACCCCGGAGAAGGAGCCUGAGAAACGGCUACUACAUCCAAGGAAGGCAGCAGGCGCGCAAAUUACCCAAUCCCGAUACGGGGAGGUAGUGACAAUAAAUACUGAUACAGGGCUCUUUUGGGUCUUGUAAUUGGAAUGAGUACAAUUUAAAUCCCUUAACGAGGAACAAUUGGAGGGCAAGUCUGGUGCCAGCAGCCGCGGUAAUUCCAGCUCCAAUAGCGUAUAUUAAAGUUGUUGCAGUUAAAAAGCUCGUAGUUGAACCUUGGGCCUGGCUGGCCGGUCUGCCUCACCGCAUGCACUGGUCCGGCCGGGCCUUUCCCUCUGGGGAGCCGCAUGCCCUUCACUGGGUGUGUCGGGGAACCAGGACUUUUACUGUGAAAAAAUUAGAGUGUUCAAAGCAGGCCUAUGCUCGAAUACAUUAGCAUGGAAUAAUAGAAUAGGACGUUGCGGUUCUAUUUUGUUGGUUUCUAGGACCGCCGUAAUGAUUAAUAGGGACAGUCGGGGGCAUCAGUAUUCAAUCGUCAGAGGUGAAAUUCUUGGAUCGAUUGAAGACUAACUACUGCGAAAGCAUUUGCCAAGGAUGUUUUCAUUAAUCAGGAACGAAAGUUAGGGGAUCGAAAACGAUCAGAUACCGUUGUAGUCUUAACCAUAAACUAUGCCGACUAGGGAUCGGGCGAUGUUUUUCUUUGACUCGCUCGGCACCUUACACGAAAGUAAAGUUUUUGGGUUCUGGGGGGAGUAUGGU